AGUUUGCAGGUGCCUAUGUUACCGAGCAGGUGACGCAACCAAGCUCAAGGAGGAGCUCGAUGAAGAUCUUGCCCUUUGUGUUGUUUCGUUCUAGUUGAUCAGUAGUGGAGCCCAGUUGGGGUCGAUCAGGGACCUUUGUCGCAUUUGGGGUUGUUCUUUUAUUUUGGUUCCGUAGUCGGACCUUGAUUGUAUCUGGAUGAUGUAAUGCUUUAUUCAUGUAAUUGUGUGAAGUGGCGAUUGUAAGCCAACUAUGUAUCUCUUUCCCUUAUGUAUUACAUGGGUUGUGUGAAGAUUACCUCACUUGCGACAUUGCUUUCAAUGCGGUUAUGCCUCUAAGUCGUGCUUCGACACGUGGGAGAUAUAGCCGCAUCGAGGGUGUUACAAGUUGGUAAUCAGAGCCUUCCCCGACCUUAGGAGCCCCACUGCUUGAUCGUUUUUAGCGGCCGAGUUGUGUCUAGAAAAAUGUUUUGAGUCAUUUAGGAUUAUAUAUAUCGGAGAGCUAGGAAUUCUUUUUACUCCUCAGUCUCUUCAUCGCUCUGGUAAGGCAUCCUGACGUAGAGUUUUGACUCUUCUCUUCUCAAAUUUCACUAAAAAAAAUUUUAGGAUCACGCGGGUAUCUUGGAAUCGUUCCGAUGGUUUUAUGAUGAGAACAUUGUCUUGGUGCCUCCUGUCAGGGGUUUAGUGGAAGUGUCCCGGGGAGUUGAGCUCUGAGGUGUUGUCAUCAUAAUUUUAUCGUUGCAGUUCUGGAAUACCUGAGUUUAGUACGCCGACAUCGAAAAUCUCUUUUAUGCAGUUGUUGGUGAGAUAACCCCGAUAACCCAGUACUGAGGUGAGUACGGGAGUAUUGCCAUGACUCGUAUAACGGAUGCUUUUCGAAGGUUGAGGUAGACGAUUUCCGAAGCUUUCUUGGUUAUGUGUUGAAGGAUGGAUACAGCUGGAUGUAGUAUUUGCUAGUUUUGGGUGAGAUAUUAUGCUUCCCCUGUAUCCCUAACACCUGAUUGCAUAACUGGAAAAUUUCGGGAGUUUCAUAGGUGGGAAUUCAAGUAGCUCUUAGGAUAUCUUUCCGACGGAUGUAUGAUAUGAAAUUGGGGUUCGACGUCUAGUGGUCCGCCUAUUCACGGUUGGUUUUACAGUUGUCUCGUUGUGUCUUAAAGAGUCCUUGGCUAUGCCGAUUCGGGGACACUUCGUAUGUCAUGUGCACUGCCUUGUACAUGAUGGUGUUGUACGAUCGAGCCCGUGUAGGCCCCACCACGAAAACUUCGGACGAAAUCUCUAUCAUAUGUUUGUUCCGGCUUAUUCUGCAAGCCAGUCCUUUGUUUUUGUUUUGAGUUGUGGUAUUCGAGUUGCUUCAAUGUCAAGUGUUGAUUCCAUACCUUUCCAAAAUGGUGUUCUCAUACUCCGAUGUGAAUACCAAUCCUUCUCGACAAUCGAGAUUGUCAUGUCAAUCCUUUUCAACCGGCGUGUUUCUCUUCAAGUGGAUCCGAUCACUUCAACAUCAGCAAGACCAAUUAUCAUUUCUUCUCAAUGUUGUUUGUUUCAUCCGUCUCCAAGUUGCCUUUGUUUUUUCCCGCCCACCCACCCUUUUUCCUCAAGGACUAAGAUUUCUUUACCAAGUAUCCUUUUAUUUUUGUGAAGUUUCUCCAUUCUUUUCCGUCAAUGUUCUUACCCGGUGGUUCUCAAGAAGAUGUUCUACUAGUUCGUCAUUCCUCAUUCCUUUCUCUUCUCCGGUGGAUUCAAGUCAAGUUUUGUUGAUCAUACCUUUUUCCUCAUUUCAAUGUCUUCUCAUACCGGUGCACCUCAUUAUCAUUCUACUUCUCGCUAUUUGUUAUUCCGGAGUGCUCAAGAUAUCUCGAAGAUUCGUGUUUCCACUCUGCAUUCGUUCAAGCUAUUUCGAGAUUGGUAUCUCAUUCAAGUCAUUUAAUUCAACCGGUGCAACAUCUCUUUGAAAUCUUUUCAACGGUGUUCUUUUGAGUGGGCCCUAACCCACAGGUCUUUUCCCAGGAUCUUACCUGACUCUUCUAUUUUCCCAGAGCUAUCCUAAAUUCUUCUCCAAGUUUGACGUAAGAAUGAGUUAUCAUCAGUCAAAUGCUUUUCUCCAAGAUCUUUCAAAUUCUUUUCAUAGUUGGCUCAACCUCUUCGCUUUUGAUUCUUCCGGUGUGCCUCAAUAAUUCUUGGUGGUGUUUCUCGUUGUCAUUCUCAUCAUUUGAAGACCGAAGAAGAGUUUCUCUUUAAUCUUGCUCUAUUCUCUUCAAGAUUCAUGGUGCUAGCUUGUUGCCAUCCUCUCAUAAUUGUUUUCGAUUGUGAGAAUCUUUUUCACCCAUCAGGAGUUAUUCAAGAGUCUUCUCAGGUUGUCAUCCGGAGUCCAUCAAUUCAGGUUUAUUCAUUCUCAGCUGUCAGUUAUCAUUCUCCUAUCUUGCCGGUGCAUCAAUCGAAUAUCCUCUAAUCAGUUCUUGAUCUCUUUGUUCUCAUGUAUCUAGUUUGUUUCAAGCACCUUCGUUCAUUUGCUAAUUCUUACCGGUGAUGCACCCCUACUUCGAUCAUUUUCAAUUCUUACGACGGCUCGUUCAAGAUUUCGCUUCCUUCGUUAUCGUAUCAAUUCAUUUGUUGUUCCAAUCCUACCGGUGGUUUGUUGAAGACCUUCUCAAGUUUUGAUAUAUCUCUUUUAAUCCUUUCUACAAGAAUAAGUAGUAUGCCAAAUCCGUUGCUUGUCAUCAAUUUAAAUUGGUGAAGGAUACGCAUAACAUAAUUCUUAUUCUGGUUUCGUCCAAGUGAUUAAUCCUUUCUUUCGGAGUUUGUUUAGGAGUAAUAAAUUCUUGGCUUCUUGUUGUUCAUCUUACUUCCGGAGUUCUAUGUUUUCCGCAUUAUCUCGUCGCGAAGCUCCAUCUAAAUCAUCGCAAGGCUUCACCUUGUGUUUUCAAAUUCUCUUUCUUUUUAUCAUCCGUUUAUUACCGGAGUGGUGGUUCGUCAAGGAUUCUUUUCAUUCUUCAAUUGUUCAUCAAGAUUUCUCUCGAAGUUAAGACCCGUCAAGCCAUACUUCAAAAAUUAAACAUGGUGUUCAACACAUGUCUUGUUUUGAGGAGUUCAAGUAUUCUUCAUCUUGCAUUCCAAAGUGCAAUUCUUUCUACCUUAUCUUUUGACGUGGUGUUAUGUCAUUCUUGACAAUUUGAGUUCGUGUUUCAUGAUUCACAUGUUGUCAAGAAUGAGACAUUUUAAAUCCACCAAUCUCUUCGUUGGAGUUAUCUUGGUAUAGAUUUCACCUAAAGCCUUCCCUAAGGAAUAUUACUAAUUAUGGUGCUAGCAAUGAUCCAAGUUUUCUCCUAUCCUCUCGGCGAAAGCAGUUUUGCAUCUCUUCGUUGAUCUCAAGCAAGCAAUUGUUUCCGUUAGUGGCCGGUUGUCACCUCAUAGUUUUGAGAUGUUUUCCAUAAGCCCACUACAAGCUUAUUCAUUUUGUUGUUGGUUUUUCCCAACAACCCCGUUGUAACCUUCUUGGAAGGGUGCUUUCCAAGCUCAUUUGUGGCAGAAGUUGGCAUUUUCUUCUUCAUUCUGUUAUCCCAACGGUCUAGCUUCUAUUCUUUCGUUCUGGAAGCAUUAUGAUGUUGUGCUCUUCACCCAUCACCUCGUUUUGUCAAGAUCAUGUUAUUUUCUUGCUUACCCAUUUAACCGGAGUGUUGUGUCAUCCCUUCAAGUUCUUUUCAUCUCAUCAAGUUUUCUUCUCUUUUCUACCGGAGUGCUGUCCAAAUUCUGUCAUUCUUGUUCCUUGGCUAUCUCAUUAUACCGAGGUGGUCAUAUUCUAUUCGUUCGUGAAGCUCUUAUUUCCAUGUCUUUGCAACCUUCAAGUUCUUGUAAUACUCCUUGUUCAUCUUUUCUAACGGAUUGUUUGCAAUCUCGUUCAUCUUUGUUGUACUCUUUCUUUUAAAUUGCUCAACCUCUCAAGGUUCGUGGUUUCACUCGUUCGUCAAAGAAGCAACUUAGUUUUACCUCUUCUCUUCCUCUUCCGUUUCUCUCCGGUGCCAUCCUAGAUCUUGGGACGAGAUCCUCUCGUAGUGGUGGAGUGUUGUAACGCCCCGAGACCGAUGCUCCAGAAGACUUCCAGCUAUUUCCGAGAUUCGUCGUGUGAUUUAUUUGUUUGAUGCAUUCAUCAUUGCAUCAUUUGCAUUGCAUCAUGUCAUCAUGCAACCCUUUUUAAAAACUUAGCUAAAUAAAUUGCAUAGAUCGUUGAUCUAUUUAAAUCGAGGGAUUCACAUGGUGAUUUCUCUUUAUAACAUAUCCUCUCGAUAUUUAGGGAGUUAUAAUAAAUAUUCCAUUAGUUUGGAAUUGAUCAAAACACACUUGCAAAAUAAUUUCGUUCCUUUUCUGCUUCAAGUUUGGUCUCCAACUUGCCCAUAAAUUAUUUCAUCAUUUUCCGGAGCUCCACCAAAAAUCCGAACAUUUUUGGACACUUCUAAAUCCUAGUCCUUGUUCAAACCAUUUGAAUUAAAUUCAAAUGACUUUGAAUUUAAUUCUUGCAAUCUUGCCCACUCCAUUUUUCUUGGGUCAAGCGCAUUUUUGCGAGUCCGGGAAAAUUAUCCCCAUGCGCAAAUCUUUCCACUAACCUCUCUUUCUUUUCUUUAUUUUCUCUGUUCUGUUUUAUUUUUCAUUAGAGUGAGAGAGAGCCCAGCCUAACCAACAAACCAGGCCGGCCCAUUUGCCUGGAGGUCCAGCCCACCUAACCCCUUCCUAACCCUAGCCCCCUGCCCGAUCCCCAUCCAUAUCUCCCUCGUCCUCCCUUCUGCGCCGCACACCCGCAUCUUCCCCUCACCCGAUCGUUCCCCUGCUCCCUUCCCUUGCGCCGCAACUCCCCUCCGCUCGCAUGCAUCGAGCCAGUGAGAUGAGGUCCCAGCGCCCGAUCCCUUCGCCGCCUCCAACCUGAGACCCCCACGCCCGCAACCAGCGAGGAAGCCUCUCCCUUUCCCCUCGCCGCCUCCUCCCUCCACUGGCGCCAUCCGUCCCCGUCGCCCGAGCGCUCAAGGAGAGCCGCUCCUCGAGCUCGUCGCCACUGCCUGCUCCCUCCGCCAAGCGACCGCCGCCGCCCUCGACCUACCUCGCCGCCGACCUCCUUUGCCCCGUCGCGUCGUUCCUCAAGGUCCCGCGCCCUGUUUCUCCUCCCGCGCCGACGCCCUCCUUCGGCUGCUCGCGCCUGCAGCUCCGUCCGCGAGCUCGUGCAGCCAUGGCCGCCACAGGAGCCUCGCGCCCGACCCCCUCGCUGAGGCCAUGGAUGUCCGCGGCCCCGCCUUCCUGCACCUCCACACGCCGCCCGCACACGCCACCAACCGCUGCUCCGCCUCCAUCGAGCUCCAUCCCCUGCCGUCACUGGAUCGCCAAGAUGCAACCCCGACCCCGUUGGCCCCUUCCUCGUACAACGCUCAAGCCUUCAUGCCCGAGGCCUUCGUCAUCUCUCUGUGUUGCUCUGCGUGCGACCUUGUCAGCCACAUGGUCGCCACCUCUGCAGCCUCCUGCUGCUGUUUCGUGCACCUCCGCUGCCGGUCGCAAGGACACCAAGACCCGAGGCCCUGGUGUUGCUUCGUUUUGGAUCGUCAAGACCGACAAGAUCGACUACACAAAACUGCCAGUACCUCUACGCACAGAUACACCAAGACCGUCCCGGAUAAUGUCUUGUACCACGACUGCAGCCGGUGUGCAUUUUUGUCAAGUCCGACUACACGUGUACGACUACAUCCGAGGUGGAUUUCGUCAAGUACCCCUUCGGAUGGGCCAAGUUCGACUACAUGGUCCGCCAAGUUCCUCUACUGAUGACUCAAACGCCUACGAACCGUGUACAACUACCGUCGCCGUGUACAACUACUUCCCACUACGAAAUGUGUACAACUACUUCCACGACGUCCGUGAACCACUACCUCCACUACGGCCGUGAACGACUACUUCCCUCUACGAAACGCGAACCGUCCCGUUUGAACGCUUUGAAGGUAUAACCCGAAACGACCGCCGUGGACCGAAUGCAUGUUGUAUGAGAUGCACCGUUUGCACCGUGUCCGUAUUGCCCCUCUUUUGCCAUGCCACCGUCAUGUGGGACACCCGGUAUCCGGGAUCACCCCACCAUCUUGCAUGACUCGCUCACGUCACACUUCCUUUUGCACCGGUACCUCCAUGAGUUAUCGGGACCGAAAUGUUGCCGUGGCAUCAUUUUCGGAUUUGUUGCCGUGGCACCCGUUUCAUUCUACCAUGGUGACAAAUGCUUCAUAACAUGCUCAUGUCAACAUUUUCAUAAAAAAUGCAUAAAACUUGCAUAUGUCAUCCGCAUCAUGAUAACAACAUUUAAAUGCUUAAACUUGUUGUUGCAUUAAAUUGCUAAAUGCAUAUGGGGAUUUACCGGAUUUGUUGUUUUUAUAUCCGGCCCCAUUUAAAUUGUUUAGAUGGUAUAGUUUUUUGUUAUGCUUCACCUCUUGCCAUGCUUAACAACAUUUAAUAUUGAUGAGUAGCAUAACGAGAGCGAACUAAAUAAUUGAUGUGGUGUUCCGUCAAUAUGCAACUCGUUGCAUAUUGAGCUCCACUUAAAUUGUAGUGUUGUUUGUUUCACCUUGCCAUGUCAUGCCUCAUUAAACCGGACAUGCACCAUACUUGAUUGUGCUUCAUGCCAUGUUUAUGUGAUGGUUGUUUACUAUGUUGUUUGUUUCUUUUCGGGUUGCUUCUCUCGUUAGCUUCGGUUUCGUUCCUGAGUUGUGAGGAUCCAUUCGACUUCGUCCGUUUGUCUUCUUCAUGGACUCGUUCUUCUUCCUUGCGGGAUCUCAGGCAAGAUGAUCAUACCCUCGAAAUCACUACUAUCUUUGCUAUGCUAGUUUGCUCGCUCUUUUGCUAUGCCAAUGCUAUGAUGCCUACCAUUUGCUUGUCAGCCUCCCAAAUUGCCAUGUCAAACCUCUAACCAUCCUUUCCUAGCAAACCGUUGUUUGGCUAUGUUACCGCUUUGCUCAGCCCCUCUUAUAGCGUUGUUAGUUGCAGGUGAAGAUGAAGUUUGUUCCUUGUUGGAACAUGGAGAUGUUGUUCCUUGUUUGAACAUGUUUACUUGUUGGGAUAUCACAAUAUAUCUUAUUUAAUUAAUGCAUCUAUAUACUUGGUAAAGGGUGGAAGGCUCGGCCUUAUGCCUGGUGUUUUGUUCCACUCUUGUCGCCCUAGUUUCCGUCAUAUCGGUGUUAUGUUCCCGGAUUUUGCAUUCCUUACGCGGUUGGGCUAUAAUGGGAACCCCUUGACAGUUCGCUUUGAAUAAAACUCCUCCAGCAAGGCCCAACCUUGGUUUUACCAUUUGCCUACCUAAGCCUUUUUCCCUUGGGUUCUGCAGACUCAAGGGUCAUCUUUAUUUUACCCCCCACCCCGGGCCAGUGCUCCUCUGAGUGUUGGUCCAAACUAGAGCACCGUGCGGGACCAUUCCUUGGCAACUUGGAUUACGUCGGUACCUGUAUGCUUAGCUUAUCCGGUGUGCCCUGAGAACGAGAUAUGUGCAGCUCCUAUCGGGAUUUGUCGGCACAGCGGGUGGUCUUGCUGGUUUAGUUUUACCCUGUCGAAAUGUCUUGAUGUACCAGGAUACCGAGUCUGAUCGGAGUGUCUCGGGUGGAGGUCUAUUCCUCCAUUGACCGUGAGAGCUUGUCAUGGGCUAAGUUGGGACACCCCUGCAGGGAUUUGAACUUUCGAAAGCCGUGCCCGCGGUUAUGGGCAGAUGGGAAUUUGUUAAUGUCCGGUUGUAGAAAACCUGAAGUUGACCUUAAUUAAAAUACAUCAACCGCGUGUGUAACCGUGAUGGUCUCUUUCCGGCGGAGUCCGGGAAGUGAACACGGUGUUGGAGUUAUGCUUGACGUAGGAUGCUAUAGGAUCACUUCUUGAUCAUACUUUUAUCGACCGUGCUUGCCUUCUCUUCUCGCUCUCAUUUGCGUAUGUUAGCCACCAUAUAUGCUAGUCGCUUGCUGCAGCUCCACCUCAUGCCUUUACCUUACCCAUAAGCUUAAAUAGUCUUGAUCUCGCGGGUGCGAGAUUGCUGAGUCCCCGUGGCUCACAGAUACUUCCAAAACCAGUUUGCAGGUGCCUAUGUUACCGAGCAGGUGACGCAACCAAGCUCAAGGAGGAGCUCGAUGAAGAUGUUGCCCUUUGUGUUGUUUCGUUCUAGUUGAUCAGUAGUGGAGCCCAGUUGGGGUCGAUCGCGGACCUUUGUCGCAUUUGGGGUUCUUCUUUUAUUUUGGUUCCGUAGUCGGACCUUGAUUGUAUCUGGAUGAUGUAAUGCUUUAUUCAUGUAAUUGUGUGAAGUGGCGAUUGUAAGCCAACUAUGUAUCUCUUUCCCUUAUGUAUUACAUGGG
RNAcentral lists this long non-coding RNA (8336 nucleotides) under Triticum aestivum (bread wheat). Its description in RNAcentral is "long non-coding RNA (TAES_LNC022875)". The record is from RNAcentral. Lineage: Eukaryota; Viridiplantae; Streptophyta; Magnoliopsida; Poales; Poaceae.